Molecule: ribosomal RNA, 293 nt
Filed under: uncultured Lysobacterales bacterium
Lineage: Bacteria; Pseudomonadati; Pseudomonadota; Gammaproteobacteria; Lysobacterales
Description: uncultured Xanthomonadales bacterium partial 16S ribosomal RNA
Rfam family: Bacterial small subunit ribosomal RNA
Source: RNAcentral
UGUGCCAGCAGCUCGCGGUAAUACGAAGGGUGCAAGCGUUACACGGAAUUACUGGGCGUAAAGCGUGCGUAGGUGGUGGUUUAAGUCUGCUGUGAAAGCCCUGGGCUCAACCUGGGAAUUGCAGUGGAUACUGGAUCACUAGAGUGUGGUCAGAGGGAUGCGGAAUUUCUGGUGUAGCAGUGAAAUGCGUAGAGAUCAGAAGGAACAUCCGUGGCGAAGGCGGCAUCCUGGGCCAACACUGACACUGAGGCACGAAAGCGUGGGGAGCAAGCAGGAUUAGAUACCUGGUAGUC